AACUUAUUAAGAUCACAGAUAUGUUGAAGAAGUCACCUGACUGUGACAGGCUCUCUUCCCUUUAAAAAAUAUCACAGCCAUUUUCAUGUUCUUUAGCUGAGUACCUGAAUGAAAGUGAAAGACUAAGCCAAACAUUGUAGAAAAAGGAAUGACAAAAAUAAAAUAUCAGGGAGUCUUGUCCAAAUAUACAUUUUAGUAGGUAUUAGAAAUAUUCAUAACUCAAAUUCACAAAUUUAAUAUUCUAAGAAUCCCUUUAAUUUGAGCACUUGUGUAUUUCUUACUUUUGCUCUCUCAUUCCUAAUCCAUUAGCUAUGAAUCAUAUAAUACUAGAUUUCUCAAGAAUUUUUGGGUAAUGUAAAGCAAGAAGGUGCAUUGAGCUUAGGAGCAACAUUGGAGCAUAGUUUUAGAAUCAGAAGGGAGUCCAAAGGUCAUUUAGACCAAUCUAUAUUUUUUACAGAUAAGGAAAAGGAAACCCAUGGAGGCUGUCAAUAAUUACUCAAGAUACCUGAUGAAAUAGUGAGAAGUUGACAAAAAUGUUACUGAUGAGGAUGGAGCUGAAAUACACAUUGAAUGGGUAGAAUUCUGAGAUUAAGAAGGGACUCCUAGGCACAGGAAGCCUCGACCUCACUCAUGCGGAAGUCAUAAUUCCUCAGAUACUCUGCCACCACCCAGCUUUAGUCAUUCAACCGGUAAGAAACCUUGGGGGUGUCAGGCUGCUUAGUGCCAUUGUUGAUAUGUCCAGCUUAUG
RNAcentral lists this long non-coding RNA (748 nucleotides) under Monodelphis domestica (gray short-tailed opossum). RNAcentral describes it as "lncRNA (ENSMODG00000050262.1)". The record is from RNAcentral. Lineage: Eukaryota; Metazoa; Chordata; Mammalia; Didelphimorphia; Didelphidae.